GUUCCGGUAGCUCAGGGGUAGAGCGGCAGAUUGCAAUUAAUUGACAUCUGCAGGUCGUGCGUUCGAAUCGCGCCCGGAACU
Malassezia brasiliensis is the source of this 81-nucleotide non-coding RNA. NCBI's taxonomy places the organism in Eukaryota, Fungi, Basidiomycota, Malasseziomycetes, Malasseziales, Malasseziaceae. The record is from the annotation of a GenBank genome assembly.